Molecule: ribosomal RNA, 933 nt
Filed under: Pedobacter sp. CY44
Lineage: Bacteria; Pseudomonadati; Bacteroidota; Sphingobacteriia; Sphingobacteriales; Sphingobacteriaceae
Description: bacterial SSU rRNA
Rfam family: Bacterial small subunit ribosomal RNA
Source: RNAcentral
AGAUUAUCCAGCUUGCUGGAUAUGAAAGUGGCGCACGGGUGCGUAACGCGUAUGCAACCUACCUUAAUCAGGGGGAUAGCCCGGAGAAAUCCGGAUUAAUACCGCAUAAAAUCACAGCACAGCAUUGUGUAAUGAUCAAACAUUUAUGGGAUUGAGAUGGGCAUGCGUGUCAUUAGCUAGUUGGCGGGGUAACGGCCCACCAAGGCGACGAUGACUAGGGGAUCUGAGAGGAUGACCCCCCACACUGGUACUGAGACACGGACCAGACUCCUACGGGAGGCAGCAGUAAGGAAUAUUGGUCAAUGGAGGCAACUCUGAACCAGCCAUGCCGCGUGCAGGAAGACUGCCCUAUGGGUUGUAAACUGCUUUUAUCCGGGAAUAAACCUUUCUACGUGUAGAGAGCUGAAUGUACCGGAAGAAUAAGGAUCGGCUAACUCCGUGCCAGCAGCCGCGGUAAUACGGAGGAUCCAAGCGUUAUCCGGAUUUAUUGGGUUUAAAGGGUGCGUAGGCGGCCUGUUAAGUCAGGGGUGAAAGACGGUAGCUCAACUAUCGCAGUGCCCUUGAUACUGAUGGGCUUGAAUGGACUAGAGGUAGGCGGAAUGAGACAAGUAGCGGUGAAAUGCAUAGAUAUGUCUCAGAACACCGAUUGCGAAGGCAGCUUACUAUGGUUUAAUUGACGCUGAGGCACGAAAGCGUGGGGAUCAAACAGGAUUAGAUACCCUGGUAGUCCACGCCCUAAACGAUGAACACUCGCUGUUGGCGAUACACAGUCAGCGGCUAAGCGAAAGCGUUAAGUGUUCCACCUGGGGAGUACGGUCGCAAGAUUGAAACUCAAAGGAAUUGACGGGGGCCCGCACAAGCGGAGGAGCAUGUGGUUUAAUUCGAUGAUACGCGAGGAACCUUACCCGGGCUUGAAAGUUAGUGAAUUAUCCA